CCUCACCAGAUCCAGCCAUGCUGGCACCCUGAUUGCACACUUCCAGCCUCCACAACUAUAAGAACAGCAGCCAGAACAUUGACCAAAGGCUCUUGGAAGAAGAAACACAUUCAAGGCCAUUAGUCUGUGGUCACAUGUGUGUUCAGGCCUCCAACUCGCACUCACUCUAUCCUGACAAGUACAGAAGGUGAAAACAUUGCUAGACAGUCUGUUUCUAAGAGGUAUCAACC
RNAcentral lists this long non-coding RNA (230 nucleotides) under Mustela putorius furo (domestic ferret). Its description in RNAcentral is "lncRNA (ENSMPUG00000026721.1)". The record is from RNAcentral. Lineage: Eukaryota; Metazoa; Chordata; Mammalia; Carnivora; Mustelidae.